This 77-nucleotide transfer RNA is filed under the name Neisseriaceae bacterium. RNAcentral describes it as "tRNA-Met". It matches the Rfam family "tRNA". From Rfam's summary of the family: Transfer RNA (tRNA) molecules are approximately 80 nucleotides in length. Their secondary structure includes four short double-helical elements and three loops (D, anti-codon, and T loops). Further hydrogen bonds mediate the characteristic L-shaped molecular structure. tRNAs have two regions of fundamental functional importance: the anti-codon, which is responsible for specific mRNA codon recognition, and the 3' end, to which the tRNAs corresponding amino acid is attached (by aminoacyl-tRNA synthetases). tRNAs cope with the degeneracy of the genetic code in two manners: having more than one tRNA (with a specific anti-codon) for a particular amino acid; and 'wobble' base-pairing, i.e. permitting non-standard base-pairing at the 3rd anti-codon position. Lineage: Bacteria; Pseudomonadati; Pseudomonadota; Betaproteobacteria; Neisseriales; Neisseriaceae. The record is from RNAcentral.
CGCCGAAUGGAGCAGGUCGGUAGCUCGUGAGGCUCAUAACCUCAAGGUCGUGGGUUCAAAUCCCACUUCGGCAACUA